GGGGAUAUAGCUCAGUUGGUAGAGUGCUUGCCUCACAUGUACAAGGCCCUGGUUUUAAUCCCCAGUACCACCA
Molecule: transfer RNA, 73 nt
Filed under: Ictidomys tridecemlineatus (thirteen-lined ground squirrel)
Lineage: Eukaryota; Metazoa; Chordata; Mammalia; Rodentia; Sciuridae
Description: Spermophilus tridecemlineatus (thirteen-lined ground squirrel) tRNA
Rfam family: tRNA
About the family: Transfer RNA (tRNA) molecules are approximately 80 nucleotides in length. Their secondary structure includes four short double-helical elements and three loops (D, anti-codon, and T loops). Further hydrogen bonds mediate the characteristic L-shaped molecular structure. tRNAs have two regions of fundamental functional importance: the anti-codon, which is responsible for specific mRNA codon recognition, and the 3' end, to which the tRNAs corresponding amino acid is attached (by aminoacyl-tRNA synthetases). tRNAs cope with the degeneracy of the genetic code in two manners: having more than one tRNA (with a specific anti-codon) for a particular amino acid; and 'wobble' base-pairing, i.e. permitting non-standard base-pairing at the 3rd anti-codon position.
Source: Rfam by way of RNAcentral